Molecule: ribosomal RNA, 2706 nt
Filed under: Triticum aestivum (bread wheat)
Lineage: Eukaryota; Viridiplantae; Streptophyta; Magnoliopsida; Poales; Poaceae
Description: partial small subunit ribosomal RNA
Source: RNAcentral
AUGACUAUCGGUGAUCUGGCCUCAGAUGAACCGGUUCUGAUGCAGACGGAUGGUCCUGCCUCACGCGAAUCAACUCCGACGACUACUGGUGAUGUGGCCUCGGUUGGGAUGGCUCUGGUGGCUACUGAUGUUGCCGCCCUAUCACCGACCACUAUCGGUGAUGUGUCUUUAGAUGGACUUGUUCCAUUGGCCACCGAUGCUGCCGCCUCGAUGACAUCACCCACAAAUUUCAUGGGGCACUGGCUCUCUUGCUUGUGGAGCUCGUUUGACUUCUUCAAAAAUUGUUGUAGAUCCAUCUUCUACUGGUUAGUUCACGUGAUUGAGAUUGCCAGCUUUUACAGAGACUGGUCCUAUGACAUAAUUCACAUCACAAGUAAGAAGGAGAAUGACACUGCAUUAGAUUUUGUCCUCACUGCUAUCUCAAGAUGGAAAUUGAAGAAAAGAAUAGAGAAUGUAGAAAACACCGUCAAUGAACUGAAGAACUCACCACUCUUGGACGUGUCAAGCAACAAUGCACCAAAUGAUAAUGCCAACAAGAACAGGAGCAGAAUUAGAACUGCUAGCACGCGGAAGGUAUUUGGCCGAAAGGUGUUGCUUGAUGAUAUCAUGGCAAAACUCCGUGAGACACCAAAGAUCUUGGGUACUGAUUCAUGUUACUCUGUUAUUGGCAUAUAUGGUGUUCCAGGGUCUGGGAAGACUACCUUUGCACGGUAUACUCGAGAUUACAUAGAGCAGGAAUGCAAGGAGGAUAAACUUUUUGACACCAUCAUGUGCAUUCAUCUGUCCAAGACUUUUAGUGUGGAUGAUGUAUUCCAUGAAAUGUUGAAGGAUAUUACAAAUAAUCAGCACUCUGAAAUUUCAGAUCGUGAGGAGCUGGAAGAGAAGUUAAAGGAAUCAUUGAGUGGCAAACGUUUCUUCUUGAUAUUGGAUGACCUCUGGGUGACGAACAAGAACGACCCACAACUCGAGGAAUUGAAGUCUAUGCUCAAUGCUGGGAUGAAAGGGAGCAAAAUCUUGGUUACGGCUCGAACAAAACUUGCAGCUGGAGCUCUUUGUGCUGAUGAGCUGAUUGAAAUGCCUGAUUUGGAUGAGGAUGAAUACUUCAGGAUGUUUAUGUAUUAUGCAAUGAAUGGUAGGAGUGAUCCUAAUGAAGAAGAAUUUUCACGAGUUGGUAGGGUGAUUGCAGAAAAGCUACACCAAUCACCUAUUGCGGCAGUAGCAGUAGCAGGGCGACUUGGGGCAAACCUGGAUAUCAAGUUUUGGAAAAAUACUGCAAACCUUGGUAUAUUGAAUAACACCGUGAAUGCUCUUUGGUGGAGCUAUCAGCUUCUUAAUCCGGACAUCAGGCGAUGCUUAGAAAUGUCCAAUAUUUUCUCCCGAAGAGCCAAGUUGCAAAGGGUCAAGUUAGUUCACAUGUGGAUAGCACAAGGCUUCAUAAGGACCAGCUGUGAAACAGAGGACAUGGAAGAUGUAGCCGAGUGCUACAUUCAAGAGUUAGUGUCAUGCUCAUUUCUGCAACCGGAAGGAACUUGUUCAGUUUCUGCCACUGCCACUGAGUGCUUUAGAAUUCAUGAUCUGCUGCAUGACAUUAUAGAAAAGGUAGCAGGAAGGCACUGCUUAAUAAUUGACAAUGAAAGUAGCCUGAGAGGAGGGAAAGGAUAUAACCCUGAAGAUGUGCAUCAUCUUUUGGUUGAAAAUUAUGAUGCAGAGUUGAUUACCAAGAUGAUCCAUGGGAUGGGAAAUUUACGCACUCUCCUCAUUUAUGAUGAUAGAAAGGAUAUACUAGUGGAGGAAAAAUUCAUUGAGAACUUGUGCAUGAGGCUGCCCAAGCUGCGGGAAUUCGCUGUUACUUACACAGGUGGUAGAACAGGGGAACCCAAUAAGUUCUUCUUCCCAGAGGCUAUUAGUAUGUUAAAGCAUCUACGUGAUUUUGUUUUCUGGAUAGAGGGUCCAUGUACGGUUGUUUUUCCAGUCGCACUAACUAAACUUCACCAUCUCCGGCUGCUAAAUCUUGGUGCCAGUGAAAAAGUGGAGUUUACCUCUCUUGACCUUCUCAAUUUGCAGCACAUAAUCUGGAAGUGCAUGAACUUUCCUAACGUAGGCAAGCUGACCUCACUCCAAACAUUGUCAUACUUCAUAGUAAGGAAUGAAAAAGGUUAUGAGGUAAAUCAGCUAAGGGAUCUGAACAAGCUUCGCGGCAAAUUGAACAUCAGUGGGCUUGAGAAUGUUAAAAGCAAGGAGGAAGCUCUUGAAGCCAAUCUAACUGCCAAGGAAGGGAUCGCGACACUGGUGCUGGAAUGGGAUGGUGAUGACACAGUGUGCAGUCCAGAAGUCCAAGCAGAAGUACUUGAGGGCCUGUGUCCUCCCACUGGGCUUGAAACACUAAAAUUGGUGGUUACAAUGGUUCGAGGUACCCAUAUUGGAUGGUGCGUAAGGAGACCGGUGGCCCCAAUAACCUGCAAAGACUUGAAUUAUCUGGAUGGAAACAACCGGGACCUGGUCCGGAGCUCGUGGCUUUCAUUCAUCUUCGUGUGCUAUGGCUUACCAGCUUCAGCUGGGACACCUUACCAGGCAACUUGGAGCACCUCAUAUCGCUCAAAGAACUUUUUAUUUAUUUCUGUCGUCGUUACAGCAAUGUCCAGUGGCUUCCAACACUGCCCCAGUCUAUUGAGGAGUUUCAUCUUAGGUCCUGCAAUCAUGAGUUGA